AACGUACGCUGGCGGCACGCCUAACACAUGCAAGUCGAACGAAGUAGCAAUACUUAGUGGCAGACGGGUGAGUAACAUGUAGGUAUCUGCCCUUUGGCCUGGAAUAACACGAGGAAACUUGUGCUAAUACCGGAUAAGUCUUUACGGAGAAAGCUUUAUGCACCAUUGGAUGAGCCUGCACUUGAUUAGUUUGUUGGUGGGGUAAUGGCCUACCAAGACUGUGAUCAAUAGCUGAUUUGAGAGGAUGAUCAGCCACAUUGGGACUGAGACACGGCCCAAACUCCUACGGGAGGCAGCAGUGGGGAAUCUUGCACAAUGGAGGAAACUCUGAUGCAGCGAUGCCGCGUGAGUGAAGAAGGCCCUUGGGUUGUAAAGCUCUUUCGUCGGGGAAGAAAAUGACUGUACCCGAAUAAGAAGGUCCGGCUAACUUCGUGCCAGCAGCCGCGGUAAUACGAAGGGACCUAGCGUAGUUCGGAAUUACUGGGCUUAAAGAGUUCGUAGGUGGUUGAAAAAGUUAGUGGUGAAAUCCCAGAGCUUAACUCUGGAACUGCCAUUAAAACUUUUCAGCUAGAGUAUGAUAGAGGAAAGCAGAAUUUCUAGUGUAGAGGUGAAAUUCGUAGAUAUUAGAAAGAAUACCAAUUGCGAAGGCAGCUUUCUGGAUCAUUACUGACACUGAGGAACGAAAGCAUGGGUAGCGAAGAGGAUUAGAUACCCUCGUAGUCCAUGCCGUAAACGAUGUGUGUUAGACGUUGGAAAUUUAUUUUCAGUGUCGCAGGGAAACCGAUAAACACACCGCCUGGGGAGUACGACCGCAAGGUUAAAACUCAAAUGAAUUGACGGGGACCCGCACAAGUAGUGGAGCAUGUGGUUUAAUUCGAAGAUACGCGCAGAACCUUACCAACACUUGACAUGUUCGUCGCGACUCUAAGAGAUUAGAGUUUUCGGUUCGGCCGGACGAAACACAGGUGCUGCAUGGCUGUCGUCAGCUCGUGUCGUGAGAUGUUGGGUUAAGUCCCGCAACGAGCGCAACCCUCACUUUUAGUUGCCAUCAUUAAGUUGGGCACUCUGAAAGAACUGCCAGUGAUAAGCUGGAGGAAGGUGGGGAUGACGUCAAGUCCUCAUGGCCCUUACGUGUUGGGCUACACACGUGCUACAAUGGUAUCUACAACAGGAAGCAAGACUGCGAAGUUAAGCAAAUCCCUAAAAGAUACCUCAGUUCGGAUUGCACUCUGCAACUCGAGUGCUUGAAGCUGGAAUUACUAGUAAUCGUGGAUCAGCGUGCCACGGUAAAUGCGUUCCCGGGUCU
This 1306-nucleotide ribosomal RNA is filed under the name uncultured bacterium. RNAcentral's name for it is "bacterial SSU rRNA". It matches the Rfam family "Bacterial small subunit ribosomal RNA", at positions 28 to 1381 of the family's 1533-position model. The record is from RNAcentral.